Biomphalaria pfeifferi is the source of this 487-nucleotide non-coding RNA. NCBI's taxonomy places the organism in Eukaryota, Metazoa, Mollusca, Gastropoda, Planorbidae. The record is from the annotation of a GenBank genome assembly.
CUGCUUACAACCUGUUUGCCUGCCUAUAAUUGAAGUAAGGAAAAGGAAUAGAAAUUAUGAAACCUGAAAUGUACUAUCAAGAAUGAUUUGACGCCCAAAUAAAAAAAAAAAUGGACAAAUGAUAUACAUUACCAGGGCAAAAUGUUCAGUAGUGACACCCAGGCAUUCAAUAAUUGGGAAGCUUGUAUGAUCCUUCUCCAAUCAACAUUAUCACCAACAUUGGACAAAGUCACAACCAAGCACUCAUAUGGGACGUUUCAAUAUAAAAAAAUGCUCGUCUUUCAAAAGACUAUGGUCUACUCGCAAUCAAUAAUUUAAUACUACCUAUCACAAAAUUAGACUUUCUAAGCCAAUUUAUAGGCGGCAAGAAUGUACAAGGAAAGAUUUCUGGAAGCACAUGAUUGUUUUCAAGCAAAUAAAAUUUAUUAGAACUGCAAGAAAGUCUACUUUUGCGAAAAACUUACCUUUUUUUUAUUAACAAGUGCUA